UCUGACUUGAACCGAACUAAAGCAUAACGGUUCAACCUCAACCAGUCUUGAUGGAUCCCGAACCUAAGCAUAACGGUCAACCAACAAGUCCUUUGAUGGGUUCCGAACCAAGCAUUAACGGUUCAGGCCCAAACCAAACCUGAAAGGGGUAAACCAAAUGAAACCUAAAGGCGGCUUCAUCCCAAAUGCAAAUACAAAGAGUCAAGGCCAACCCAAAACGCAAGUCCACAAAUAAACCCCAAACCCAAAGUCUCACAAAUAAAUCCCAAAACCCAAAGUCCACAAAUAAAAUGCCAAAAACCAAAGUCCAAAAUAAACUCUACGACCGCAAAGUCGUUAACAAACAACCAAUUCAAAUGACCGCUAAAGUCCGUUAAACUGAACAACCCAAUUCAAACGACCGAAAUAUCGCUAAAUAAAACCCAUAUUCAAACGACGAAAAGUCGCUAACUAAACCGAAAUCCAAACGACUGAAAUGUGGCUAAACUAAACCAUAUUCAAAAUGAGCGAAAAGUUUAAACUCAAACCCAAAUCCAAACGACCGAAAAGUCGUUAAACUAAAUCUAUAUUUCAAACGACGCAACGUCCGUAAACUAAACCCAAAUUCAUAUGACCGAAAAGUCGUUAAACUAAACCAAAUUCCAAACGACGCGAAACGUCGCUAAACUAAAACCCAAAUUUACACCGAAAAGUCAUUAACCAAAACCCAAAUUCCUUGAACCAUGAACCAAAUCCAUACACCGAACCCAUGAACCAUAUCCAAGUUCAUGAACCAAAAUCCAUACAUCCAAACCCAUGAACGAUAAUCGCAAGUUCAUGACCAAAUCCAUACACCGAACGCCAUGAACCAUAUCGCAACUUCAUGAACCAGAACCCAUACACCAAACCCAUGAAUCCAAUCUAAGUUCACAAGAAGGUAAACCAAAUCCAUCACCGAAACCAGUGAACCAUAUCCAGUUCACGAACCAAAUCCAUACCCGACCCAUGAACCAUAUCCUCCAAGUUCAUGAACCAAAUCGCAUACACGAAUCAUGAACCAUAUCCAAGUUCAUGGACCAAAUCCAUACCCAAAUGCCAUGAAACCAUAUCUAAGUUCAUGAACCAAGUCAUACACCAAAUUCAUGAAACGGCAUAUCUCAUGAGCCCAAUACUCGAAAAUCUCAUGAACCAAUACCCAAAUCUCCAUCGUGAACCAUAUUUUUACUUCUGGCACAUACUACCUAGAGUAAAAUUAAAAAUAUCGACUACCCUAUACAUAUACUUAGGGCUAUGUCAAUAGUUCUUUGGCACAUAUAAUAAGGCGAAACAUGCUCGCAAAUCGACAGAAUCUAAGGCCAUAUACUUAGAAUUUCAGUUAAAUGAUAUCAUCUUAUUCGAACUCUAACAUAUAUACUUAGAGUCAUCCGAACUACCCUAACACAUAUACUUUAGGGUCUAGUCAGUCUUUUGCCUUACACAUAUACCUAGAGCUGAAGUCAAAAGCCAUGUCCGACAACCCUAAACACAUAUACUUAAGGGUGUAGUCAGUCUUUGCUCUAGCAGCAUAUACCUAGAGUGAAGUCAAGGCCGUGCUCGACUAGUCGCUAAACCCAUAUAUUUAGGGUCUAGCCAGCAUUUGCUCUAGCACUAAUAUACCUAGAGUGAAACCCAUCCCCGAUCGAGCUGCCUUAAUACAUAAUACUUAAGAUUCAAAUUCCGACUACCUAAUACAUAUUACUUAGGGCUUAGUCAGACCUUCACUCUAGCAGCAUAUAACUACGAGUGAAACUCGGUUAAAUCCUGAUACAUAUACUCGGAAUGCCACUCUCCACUUUCCGUAAUUCGACCACUUCAAUACAUAAUACUUGAGGUGAUGGUCAGCAUCUCCACCUUUGGAACAUACAACCAGCGUGAACUAUACAAUAGACUAAGGACAUAUACUUAGAGGCGCAGAUUAGAUCUAAAUACAUGGAGUUUAUAUCAAUAGUCUUAACAACAUAUCUUAGGAUCUAGUCCGACCCACCUCAUAAACAGUAUACUUGAGGCUGGUCACAUCUCCAUCUUGCAACAUAUACCAAAGGUGGGCAUAGAUCGGACUCUAAGACAUAAUACUUAAGGCCAAUUAGAUCUAAUACAUAGAUGUAACAUUGACUAGGUUUUAACAUAUAUAACUUAGACCUACGUCAAUCCUCAAAUUCCACUGAAUGCCUAAUACCAUAUACUUAGGAUUCAAUUUAUUACAUGGGGGUAAUGCCCCUGCUUAAGCCAUGUAAACGCAAAUCAUAUCAAUAAAUUCUUCAUUGCCGUGUUUUGUCUCUUUUAUUAUCAGGCAUUUAUAUUUGGGUCUCUUAAUCGAGGGUUCCUUAACACCGAAAGUGUGGGGUGAAUUAAUAACAGAUUCUUGAUCUGUUGGAAGUCAAUGAACCUAUAAUCCUAUUUCAAAAAUAAAGCUAAACAAAUUUUAUCGUUAACCAUGAUGACCACGUCGCCCUAAGAAACAACCUACGGCGGGGCCGGUUUCCGUUCGCGAUGCAGACAGAAAAUGGCACCCCAAGGUGGGACAUGGCUUUCACCCUCCAUCUUUGAGACCAAAUCCAAUAAUGCUGAUAUAGAGACAGUUUGACCGAUAAUAUGGCAUUUAUCCAAGCGGAGGGCAAUCCAAUCCGACUACAUCGCCUCGAUCGAGAUCAAAGAGCAUGUCGGUCAUUCCUCCAAAUGGCAUCACCACAGAAGGACGUUAUGUCUACAUUAUGUAUUUGCUCUGCCAGUUCAAAUCAUGCAGGGGCAAGAUUAUUCUGAGCUGACAAUCGUGGUCUCUUCCCUCUCAACAUCAUAUGCGAGGCUUAUUCAUCGGCAAGAGAGCAAAUGGCUUCCAACAACGACCACAUUCCUCUACCUCGGUGGGAGAUCAAAGUUGAGGAAUUUCGGUUUCCUGCCACUUUGGCACACUACAGAAGGACGUUCUGGCCACCAUUCUAUCUGAUCUGCCGCUCAAGUCAUCAGGGGGAAGGGGGCAAGGACGAUCUUGCCGACAAUCGUGGUAUUCUCACCCCUCAGCGCAUAUCUUGGCGUAUUCGUUGAGGGCAUAAUCAACUCCUUCAUAUUUUUGGAGACAUUACUUUUCAUUGCUCCUUUUCCAUUUGGGUGACAUAUGGCAGAAUGUUCUAAUCACUGCACUUGUCACAAAACGUCAGGGGUCAAAUCAAUUUCCACGAACAAUUAUGGUCCUUUAUGCUUCUUGAUUCGAUAAGGUACCACAAAUAAUAGUUAAUGCCCGAAAACUUUUUUUACGCCUACGCAGUGCGCCCUAAAACUAUUAGAUCAUGUGGGGAACGAAACAGAGAUAGUGGAACACUGCUUGUCUUUAUUUUUGGAGUCAUAUUCACUCACUCUCAUGUCUCCGAGGUGGCAAUCUAUGCCUUUUUGGUACAUUGUCUCAAUUUCUCAUUUUCUAUGAUAGAUUUAUCAUAGUCGAUUCCUUAUGAAAAAAAAAUAUGCAAAAAAAAUUUAUAGUAAAUUAUUAUUUUACAAAAAAAAAGAUUUAAUUAUGAACUAAAAACAUUUAAAAUAAGUAAAUAAAAAAGUUAAAUAGUCAAUAUAAUAACAGGCAAAAAAUAAGAUAAGAUUAUAAAAAUGAUGAUGCUAAAUAUAUAGAAAGUACAGAGCUUAUUAUAAUGAAUAUAGGCAUAAGCUGAAUAGAAAAAAUCAAGUCUUCCAGAGCCCUGUUCGAGUAAUAUACCUCUACUUAUAUGGUUUUCUUUUUUCUAUUUCCAAUCGUGGCAAAAGUUUUAGAAAAUUGUCUUUCUUUUGGGAAACACCGUUCUAUCUGGGUCUGCGCAGUUGGUCCAGGUUAUUUCAAGAUGCCGCCUGAACCAAACCACAAGGGAUUUGACUUAAACCAAAGUGGAUCCGAUCCAAGCUGAACCGAACCGGAUCCCGUCUGAACCAAAUCAUAAUGGAUUCGACUUAAACCGAAGGGAUCCGAUCCAAACUGAACCAAACCAGAUCCCGUCUAAACCAAAUCAUAAUGGAUUCGACUUAAACCGAAACGGAUCCAAUCCGAACUGAACCGAACCGGAUCCGGUCUGAACCAAGCUGCAAAGGAUUCAACUUGAUCCGAAGUGGAUCCGACUUGAACCGAACAAGGAAGGAGUCAACUUGAACCGAAGUGGGUCCAAUCCGAAUCGAACCAAGAAGCAUUCGACUCGAACUGAAGUGGAGCCGAUUCGAAUCAAACCAUAAAGCAUUCAACUUAAACCGAAGCGGAUUCGAUCCAAACUGAACCAAACCGGAUCUCAUCUGAACCAUAAAGGAUUCAACUCGACCCGAAGUACAUCCGACUUGAACCGAACCAGGAAGGAGUCAACUUGAACCUAAGUGGAUCCGACUUGAACCGAACUAGGAAGGAGUCAACUUGAACCGAAGUGGAUCCAAUCCGUACCGAACCAGGAAGCAAUCGAUUCGAACCAAAGUGGGUCCGAUCUGAACCAAACUACAAAGGAUUCGACUUGAACCGAAGUGGAUCUGAUUUGAACCGAACCAUAGAAGAGUCAACUCGAACCUANGGGUCCGGAUCAUUAAACCGGGUCGCCGUCUUCGUGAUAGGCUUGACCCGGGUUCGGAUCAUUAAACCGGGUCGCCGUCUUCGUGAUAGGCUUGACUCGGGAUCGGUUAAUUAAACCGGGUCGUCGACUUCGUGAUAGGCUUGACCCGGGUUCGAUUCAUUAAACCGGGUCGUCGUCUUCGUGAUAGGCUUGACCCGGGAUCGGUUAAUUAAACCGGGUCGCCGUCUUCGUGAUAGGCUUGACCCGGGUUCGGUUCAAUUAAACCGGGUCGUCGUCUUCGUGAUAGACUAGACCCGAGUCAACUAAACCAUAAUGAUAAAUCAAAUCGGAUUAUAAGCCGAUCAAGUCUAAUCAAUAAGUCUAAUUGAACCAUUAAAGACAUAACCGAACCAAAUCAAACUACAAGCUAGUUUGACUUGAACCAAACCAUGAAGGAUCCAAAUCGAACCUGAAAGGAACCGACUCAACCGAACCAGGAAAGAUUCGACUCGAACCAAAGUGGAUUCGAUCCGAACCGAGCCAAAUGGAUUUAACUUGAUCCAAAGUGGAUUUGACCUGAUACGAACCAGGAAGGAUUCGACUCGAACCGAAGCGGAUCCAAUCCGAACCAAACCAAAUGGAUUCAACUUGAUCCGAAGUGGAUCUGAUCCGGACAGAACCAUAAAGGAUUCAACUUGAACUAAAGUGAAUCCGAUCUGAUCCGAACCGAACCGGAUCCGAAUCGAACCGAACCAUAAAGGAUUUGACUUGAACCAAGGUGAAUCCGAUCUGAACUGAACCGAACCGGAUCCGAACUGAACCGAAUCAUAAAGGAUUCGACUUGAAUCGAUGCUGAUCCAAUCCGAACUCAAGCGAACCAGAUCCGGUCUAAAUCAAAUCAUAAAUGAUUCAACUUGAACCGAAGUGAGUCCGAUCCGAACCAAACCAUGAAGGAUUCGACUCUAACCGAAAUGAAUCCAAUCCAAAUCAUACCACAGGGGAUUGAACCUGAACCGAAGUGAAGUGGAUCCAACCCGAACUAUAAAGGAUUCGACUUGAACCAAAGUGAAUCCGAUCCGAGCCGAACCAUAAAGGAUUCAACUUGAACCGAAGCGGAUCUGAUUUGAGCCGAACCAUAGAAAAUUCAACUCGAACCGAAGUGGACCCGAUCUGAACUGAACCGAAUCGGAUUCGGUCCGAACUAAAUCAUAAGGGAUUCAACUUGAACCGAACCGAAUCCCGUCUGAACCAAAUCAUAAGGGAUUCGACUUGAACCGAACCGGGUCCCGUCUGAACCGAAUCAAGAAGCAUUCGACUCAAGCCGAAAUGGAGCCGAUCCGAACCAAACCAUAAAGCAUUCAACUUGAACCAACUCGAACCGAAUCCGGUCCAAUCCGAUCAGAACCAUAAAGGAUCCGACUCGAACCUAGGUGGGUCCGACCUGAAUUGAACAAUGAAGAAUCCGAUUCAAACCAAACCAUGAAGGACCCGACUCGAAUCGAACCAUGAAGGAUCUGACUUGAACCGAACUAAAGCAUAACGGUUCAACUCAAACCAAGUCUUGAUGGGUCCCGAACCCAAGCAUAACGGUUCAACCCAAACCAAGUCUUGAUGGGUUCCGAACCAAAGCAUAACGGUUCAGCCCAAACCAAACCUGAAAAGGGUAAACCAAAUGAAAACCUAAGGCGGUUCAUCCCAAAUCAAAUACAAGAGGUUUAAGCCAAUCCAAACCCAAAGCCCACAAAUAAAUCCCCAAAACCAAAACCCACAGAUAAAUUCCAAAACCAAAGUCCACAAAUAAAAUCCCAAAGCCCAAACUCAGUCGACCGAAACGUCGUUAAACUAAACCCAAAUCUAAUUUUCAUGAACAUCUCAAUUUCAGUCGACCGAAACGUCGUUAAACUAAACCCAAAUCCAAUUUUCAUGAACAUCUCAAUUUCAGACGACCGAAAAGUCGUUAAACUAAACCUAAACCCAUGAACCAUAUCCAAGUUCAUGAACCAAAUCCAUACACCAAAUCCAUGAACCAUAUCCAAGUUCAUAAACUAAAUCCAUACACCAAACUCAUGAACCAUAUCCAAGUUGAUGAACCAAAUCCAUACACCAAAUUCAUGAACCAUAUCCAAGUUCAUGAACCAAAUCCAUACACCAAAUCCAUGAACCAUAUCCAAGUUCAUGAA
This 6703-nucleotide long non-coding RNA is filed under the name Ananas comosus (pineapple). RNAcentral describes it as "long non-coding RNA (ACOM_LNC039281)". The record is from RNAcentral. Lineage: Eukaryota; Viridiplantae; Streptophyta; Magnoliopsida; Poales; Bromeliaceae.